Molecule: signal recognition particle RNA, 94 nt
Filed under: Verrucomicrobium sp. GAS474
Lineage: Bacteria; Pseudomonadati; Verrucomicrobiota; Verrucomicrobiia; Verrucomicrobiales; Verrucomicrobiaceae
Description: Bacterial small signal recognition particle RNA
Rfam family: Bacterial small signal recognition particle RNA
About the family: The signal recognition particle (SRP) is a universally conserved ribonucleoprotein involved in the co-translational targeting of proteins to membranes.
Source: Rfam by way of RNAcentral
AGCCAAGAGCGGCAGAGCGCCGGCAGGGUAACCCCGCCAGGUCCGAAAGGAAGCAACGGUAACUUGACCGUCGUUGUUGCCGCUCUUGGUUUUU